Cyprinus carpio carpio is the source of this 3707-nucleotide long non-coding RNA. Lineage: Eukaryota; Metazoa; Chordata; Actinopteri; Cypriniformes; Cyprinidae. The record is from Ensembl.
GUCAUUGCAUGGAAGCUACAAAUAGCAACUUUUUUAAAGCUAUAUUAAUAUAUAAAUUAUCUAAUCAAACACUUGUUUGAAUAAGUAUCUCAGCCUUACACUGAUCUUAAUUCUCUGCUACCCUAACAAGUCUGAACCGCUGACAAGUUGGCCUUCAAAACAUUUUAUUUCCAAAACUUUGAUGAUAAACUAAAUACUUUUUUUAUCUAAUCAGAUGGAGAAACCAGAUUAAACCAGUAGGCUAUAACAAAAAGUGUUUUAGAAAAACAUUGCAUACUGUCAGGUACAGACGCAGACCGAAAUGACCAGAAAUGAGGUCAACUUAAACAGGUUGGUUUAUUAGAUGUUUUAGCAGGAACACAAUUGAUAAACAGGUAAAUGACAAAUGUGGAGCUAAAUGGUGAGAGUAAAAAAAAUUGGAUAAAUUUCAGUCUUUGUCUUAUAGAGCCGGUUGAGCACACAAACAAACAAGUUGAGACAGAGGACACUUGGAAGACAGGUUGGAAUACCUGCAGGGUUUAAGAUAACUGACAUAAACUUGAACAAGGUAACUGGCGUAGCAAUUGUGGUCAACAGGAUGUAAGAGGUCUGUCGCAUCGAACAAGGCAAUGACUGGGGUGCUUUAAUGCUGGUGAUGAAGGUUGAUCAGCUUCGGGGGUGUGUUGUUAGUGCCAGGGUGCGAUGUGGAACAAACAAUGGUCUUCUCAAAGUCAUAAAAUAAAACUCAAGAAACGGAGUUCCAGAUGCCAAAAUUAGACUUUAUUGAACACAGUUUUUGUCUGUCCGGGCACCCAUAUUUCUACCUCUCUUUCUUACCAUAAUUGGUAGUUCCGUUUUUUUAUUGGCUAUGCCAAUGGCUAUGUCUGGUUUUCCACAAUUUAUUACUUGCCCAGCUGGUCCAUUUUUUAUUGGUGAAACUUGGCCUUAUCAACCAUUUUUAAGAAAACUUUCAUUUUGCCACCUACUACUGGUAGGCAGUGAUCCCAGAACACAUUCAUCAAAUCUGUCAACUUCUGGAACUCACCCAAAGUCAUAGUGUUACUUCAGUUAACAGGUGCAGUUCAAUGGAAAACUAGCAGUACUACCCAAUGGGAGGGCCUUUAUACAGCCAAAGAGUAUUUGGGAAUAAUUCAGCAUAUUGAUCAGUAUAUUGAUUACUUUCAUAGUCAUACAUAAUAGUUUAAACAAGAUAAUACCAUAUUGAGUAAUUAACAUUAUAUAUAUAAUAGAAUAACACAACAUAUUAAGAUGUGAGUAGGCUCUGGCGUAGCAGGCAUGACGUGAACAGGUGCUGGCUUGGCAGACAUGGUGUGAGUAGGCCUUGGCUUGGCUGGCGUGACGUGAACAACUCCUGACAUGACGGUUGGGACGUGGAAAAGUUCUGAUGUGGCGGGUACUGUGGGAUAGCUGUGUUCCUCAUCAGCAAUCCCCACAGUAAAUGAUGAACCAGCCAGGAAAAGAGCAUGGUCAAUAUAUUCCUCCAGGGACCAGUGAAUUUUUCCCCCAGGAAGCUGAGAGCAAAUGGGCUCAUUAAGACCCACCCGAAAUAUGUCCUUAAGGGCCACAUCAUUAAAAUCCACCAGAUGACACAAACCACAAAAGUCCUCCACAUAGUCCUCAAUGGCCUGGUUUCCUUGGCUAAGACGCAGGAGACGAACAACUGCUGGGUUCAUUUUUAGGGUCGUGUAUUCUGUCCACUGAAGGCAAGCGUAGCGAUGAACCCAAGUGCAGUUUUAUUCACAAUGGUACAAUCCAAAAUCCAAAUAUAAUCCAAACAGUAAACAAAGACUUGACUUGACUUGACUUGACUUGACUUGACUUGACUUGACUUGACUUGACUUGACUUGACUUGACUUGACUUACCGAUAGCAGGUUACAACGUUAAUACACGACAAGCGCUAAUGACAAAAACAUGACUACUUAUACAAACAAUGAGGGUCACAUGACAAGAGCAAACCAAUGGGAACAAGACACAUGACUAAAGCAACCAAUGAGAACAAACACAACUGAUAAUCACAUGACCAGACAAUAACCAAUGAGAACAUGACACAUACACAAAGCAGAGAUACAUGAGGGCAAGGGAAGCAUGACACAAACAGCAAAAUCAAACAAUAACAAAAUAAAAGACAUGAAAACAUGAACAUGAAACAAAACCCAAAACAGACAUUACAGUGAUCAGAAGUCUGGUGAGUGUGAGGGUCUGAUAGGUUACAGAAUGCCUGACUUGAAAGUCAAACUUAACCUACCUUCAGUAUGUGAUGUGUUUUCAGUACUAACUUGUGAAUUGAUUAUGUUAGUAGAUUCAUCUCUUUUCUCUGAUGCUAUUUGAAUGAAGCAGCAACCACAACCUGUCACACACAACAUUAAAGAGCAUCAAAACACUGUUUGAACUCCAUGAUAACCUCACACACUCCUUUGGUGUGUUCAUGGAUAUUUAUUUAUUUUAAGCAGAGAGAUGGGUACUAUGCAUUUCUUCUAAAAGAGACUUUGUGUGUUGAAAAGUUAUUUUACAGUUACAAACUAUUUUAUUUUCAAUAUUUGUGUUCAGGACAUGUGUUCUAUUCAUAUUUUCAGUUAGGUUUCAAGUAUAUUUUUUCACCUUUUACCACUGGGCAAUUACAGCACUUAAUUUUAGAAAUUGCCUAAUUUUACAAUUGCCUAAUUAUUUUAGGCAAAGGUGUUUCUGCUUAUGGUUUUUCCUUUUUAUUUUGAGACAUGUUAUUUAUUUAAUGUAAUUAAGUUGAUCAUUUUAAUUUGCAUUUUGAUAAAUUAGUAUGUAUUUUUUUUCUGCAAAUAUUAAGUGUUGCACUAUUCUUGUGCAACUCUUUGUUGUGUGCUGUACAUGCUAUAUAUUCAACAUUUUGAGAUUUGUUUUCUCCUUUACUUUUCUUCAUUUGUAAGAGAAAUAAUUAAUAAUAAAGUGUUUUAUAUGGAAAUACAUGUCUAUUAUUUGGUUGAACUUGCUAGUGUAUCUUACGAAUGUAUAAUUAUUUUAUGACCCCCUGUCAUAAUAUCCAUCAAUCAAAAUGUGAAUCAAUAACAUAAUUCUUACACGUAGGAGCUCUUGUCUUCGGUUCCAUCUCUCUUCUAUCCAGUUCCAUUGCUCUUCUAUCCAGUUCCAUCGCUCUUCUAUCCAGUUCCAUUGCUCUCUGACUGGACUGUAUGAUGAGAGAAUACAUUAAACUUUGUUUCUCAUGGACAUUUACAUUCAUUCAUUCAUUUAGAAAAGCAUGCUUCUAUUCCCUGAAUGUGGAUCUCUUAAUCUCAUCUCUUUAGCUUUUGAAACACAUCUUCAUUUGCACUUCAGGAUAACUAAAAUAUAAAAAUAUUUAAUUUUCUUAUGGCUUUAAUGUUCAAAACCUAUGAUCACACACCAACACACUGCAACAAAUAACAAGCCUUCAUCAGGGUGUUUUUUUUUUGUUGUUGUUUUUUUGGCCUUAUCUUCACUUGUUUAUCUUCAAAUUAAAUUUUUGGCUUCUCAAACUGUGCAUCAGAUUCUUAAGAUUCCAAAACACUCCAGUUGUUUUGUGAAAAAAGUUUAGCCUUAUGCAGUAUCAUUGCAUCAGUUUAAGUAAUUUGUCAGUGAUGUCUUACAUUUUUUUAACAUACAGCAUCCACUAUGAACAAAUGUAAUUUAAUAUUAAAACAACUGAAUUAAUUGUGAAUUACUUUUUAAGUUUAUAAGCUGCAUUAGUUGUUACAAA